CCUACGGGUGGCUGCAGUAGGGAAUAUUGGACAAUGGGCGAAAGCCUGAUCCAGCCAUGCCGCGUGAUAGAUGAAGGCCCUCUGGGUUGUAAAUAUCUUUUAUCUGGGAAGAAACUCCUCUAUUCUUAGAGGCCUGACGGUACCAGAGGAAUAAGCACCGGCUAACUCCGUGCCAGCAGCCGCGGUAAUACGGAGGGUGCAAGCGUUAUCCGGAUUCACUGGGUUUAAGGGGUGCUUAGAAGUCUUGGGAGAAAGCUCCGGGCUUAACUUGGAAACUGCCAUUGAUACUGUCAAUCUUGAAUGUCGUAGAGGUAAGCGGAAUGUUGCAUGUAGCGGUGAAAUGCUUAGAUAUGUUACAGAACACCAAUUGCGAAGGCAGCUUACUAUGCGAUAAUUGACGCUGAGGCACGAAAGCGUGGGGAGCAAACAGGAUUAGAUACCCGAGUAGUC
Molecule: ribosomal RNA, 450 nt
Filed under: uncultured bacterium
Lineage: Bacteria
Description: partial 16S ribosomal RNA
Rfam family: Bacterial small subunit ribosomal RNA
Source: RNAcentral